ACAGCAUCCUACAGCAUGGACCACCUAUAGCCACAGCUCUCGCAGUGGAUUAAUGAAUGCCAAACUCAUUAGCUACAGACAAAUAACAUCUAAAUAGAGGUGACCUUCCGGAUAAUGACAAUGGUGAGCUUCCUGCUGGGGGGUCACGUGUGCUGUUGAGGUACAAUUUGGUACUGAUGAUUUUUACCACCUAAUGACCUAUAGGCAGAUCCAUCUUGAGUUCAUCUCCAGGCUGGUCUUCUGCGUGUGAGAGAUGUUGUCCCUUCAGUGUGUUUUGGAAGCUGAGGUGAGGGAAGGAGCCCUGAUCUUCUGGCAGCUGCCAGGGGAAAAGGCUUUUUUUUCCCUGCCCGGUCCCAGCACGGCUUCCUCCUGCUGUUCCCACUGAAAGAAUGGAUCCCUGAGAGCAACAAAAGCAGUCACGCAGUUCACUUGAGCAGUCAUGCAUAAAGAUGGGCAGACUUUCUGCUGUGAAAACCAAAGGGCAGCCCCCCCCCCCCGCCACCAGUUUUCCAUAGGUUCUCAGGAGGAUGCUGAGGAUCUCAUACAGGAGGCCGGUGUCCCUGGCGUGCACCGGGUGCUGCUGUUCCCCUGGGCUGGGGCUGUCACAGCAGCCAGUCAGUGUACUGCUCUGCAAAUAAGAAGGUAAGGAGCGAUGAUAGCCGUGCCUCGUUCCACACUGCCGGCUCAGAGUUGCUUUAUUUUGAGGGAUGUGAAGGGUUUGAUACAGGUGUCUGUUUUCUACUGGAACAGCAGCGCAAGAGCUCUGUUCCUCAUGGCGUGGGGUGCAUGGCUGACGUGCACAAAAAGCAUUAAUCCUCUGUGCAGUCAUCUUGAAUAACUCGGAUCUCUGGUGAGAUUUACGAGGGGUAGUUAUUGUUUUAAGUGUACACUGAGGGCUCAGUUCAUUGUCGGAGCAACUGGAGGGAACCAGGUUAGAACACGGCAGCAGGUGGCUGCAUCCAUGUGAUGUGCUUCUUUGGGAGUUUGGCUUGGAGCUGUGCACCAGUGUAAAUAAUUCAUCUGUGCCAACAUCAACAGCAUGCCUCGUGAUUACUUAAAAAAAAGGCUGAUGCCUCUGAAAUGCUGGGUUACGGGGGACGUGUCAGAAAGUGAAAUAUUUCUGGCUGUUGCCCUCACUGUCAGCGCUGAGCUCUGUGUUGUUCAGGACUUGUCAGGUUUCCAGAAAUUAAAGUAACUUCUAGCACUGAUUCAGCAGACAGUACGAUGGCAAAUCCUAAAGCACUGCUGGAAGUGACAGGUCUGUUGGGAUUUUCUUGCUUGAAAAGCCUGAAUAGUUUGUACGUCUUGGGCAGAAUGGGAAUGGGGUAGAUGAGUAGUGAAGGUUUCCUUAGAGCUUCUGUAGAAAUGCUUCAGUGGAGUCUGAGGAAGCUCCGUGCACUCAUAUAACUAUCAGCUGACUGAUUGGAUCUUUGCAGUCUGUGAUUCCUUCAGCUCCCUCCAUUAUGCUGCAGGAUGGGUUCACUGAAGUAAAGGCCAUUUGAUGCAGGCAAGUAUGGGUGUCAGUGUGCCAGAGAUGCUACUGCUGCCCAGCAGGGUUUCACCAAAGCAGUGGCUCUGAUGGUGAUGUGAGUUUGGGGGAAUGGCAAUAAAAUUGGUAUUUAG
Long non-coding RNA from Gallus gallus (chicken), 1623 nucleotides. The record is from Ensembl. Lineage: Eukaryota; Metazoa; Chordata; Aves; Galliformes; Phasianidae.